AGAGUUUGAUCCUGGCUCAGGAUGAACGCUAGCGACAGGCUUAACACAUGCAAGUCGAGGGGCAGCGGGGGAGCGGCAACGCUCCCGCCGGCGACCGGCGCACGGGUGAGUAACACGUAUGCAAUCCACCCCGGGCAGGGGGAUAAUCGGAAGAAAUUCCGUCUAAUACCGCGUAACACCGAUUAAGGGCAUCCUUUUUCGGUCAAAGGUGGCGACACCGGCCCGGGACGAGCAUGCGGCGCAUUAGCCAGUUGGCGGGGCAACGGCCCACCAAAGCAACGAUGCGUAGGGGUUCUGAGAGGAAGGUCCCCCACACUGGUACUGAGACACGGACCAGACUCCUACGGGAGGCAGCAGUGAGGAAUAUUGGUCAAUGGGCGAGAGCCUGAACCAGCCAAGUCGCGUGAGGGAAGACGGUCCUAUGGAUUGUAAACCUCUUUAGCCGGGGAGCAAGGGGCGCCACGCGUGGCGUCUCGGAGAGUACCCGGACAAUAAGCAUCGGCUAACUCCGUGCCAGCAGCCGCGGUAACACGGAGGAUGCGAGCGUUAUCCGGAUUUAUUGGGUUUAAAGGGUGCGUAGGCGGACAGACAAGUCAGCGGUAAAAUUGCGGCGCUCAACGCCGUAGUGCCGUUGAAACUGUCGGUCUUGAGUGAACGAGAAGUGAGCGGAAUGCGUGGUGUAGCGGUGAAAUGCUUAGAUAUCACGCAGAACUCCGAUUGCGAAGGCAGCUCACCGGCGUUCAACUGACGCUGAAGCACGAAAGCGUGGGGAUCGAACAGGAUUAGAUACCCUGGUAGUCCACGCCGUAAACGAUGAAUGCAAGCCGUGCGG
RNAcentral lists this ribosomal RNA (832 nucleotides) under uncultured bacterium. RNAcentral describes it as "bacterial SSU rRNA". It matches the Rfam family "Bacterial small subunit ribosomal RNA", at positions 8 to 827 of the family's 1533-position model. The record is from RNAcentral.